This is a long non-coding RNA of Octodon degus (degu), 821 nucleotides long. RefSeq lists it as uncharacterized. The record is from RefSeq and is a predicted model, not a curated record. Lineage: Eukaryota; Metazoa; Chordata; Mammalia; Rodentia; Octodontidae. The transcript has 2 exons.
ACUUGCAUGUUACUGCUUGAAGACUUCAGAUAUAUGAGAGGUUCUGUUAUUCUGUCCAUAACAGAAUACUUUGUUCAUUGACAUGCAGAUAAAAUUUGAAACUCAGGUUUGGGUAAUAUUCAUAAUUUACUUUGUUGAACUUUCUAUCAGUUUAAAUUAUGUGUUACAGUCUGAUGCAUAGGAAAAAUAAUACGGGUUAUUUAGUAGGGGAAAAAAGUGAGCUGUGUGACAUUUAAAGUACUGAUCAUGGGUGUGCAUUUAAAACAGGUGGUACCAGGAGAGACUGCACUGGCAUUUUAUAAAGCUAAGAAUCCUACUGACAAACCAGUCAUUGGAAUUUCUACAUACAAUGUUGUACCAUUUGAAGCUGGACAGUAUUUUAACAAAAUACAGUGUUUCUGUUUUGAAGAGCAAAGACUGAAUCCCCAAGAAGAAGUAGACAUGCCGGUGUUUUUCUACAUUGAUCCUGAAUUUGCAGAAGACCCAAGAAUGGUGAAUGUUGAUCUUAUCACGCUUUCUUACACAUUUUUUGAAGCAAAGGAAGGGCAUAAGCUGCCAGUCCCAGGUUAUAACUGAAGUAGUAUCCAAGUCCUGCUUCAGAUUUGUGAUUUUUGAAAAAUCAUGUAUCUUACAUUCUCAUUGGAGAAGUAUUCUACAGUGUGAAUUGAAAUUUUUUAAGUAGUUCUUUUAUUUCUUCCAGUGAAUUUACUUCACUCAGAUUUAACUUUUACCAUAAGAAACAAAUAAGCCUCAAUAAAGCAUGUGAUUGUUUGAUAUACCUAGGAACUUAACGGUUUAAAAUAAAGUUGGUGGAAACUGAA